GAUGAACGCUGGCGGCGUGCUUAACACAUGCAAGUCGAGCGAAGCGAUUUUAAGGAAGUUUUCGGAUGGAAUUAAAAUUGACUUAGCGGCGGACGGGUGAGUAACGCGUGGGUAACCUGCCUCAUACAGGGGGAUAACAGUUAGAAAUGACUGCUAAUACCGCAUAAGCGCACAGUGCUGCAUAGCACAGUGUGAAAAACUCCGGUGGUAUGAGAUGGACCCGCGUCUGAUUAGGUAGUUGGUGAGGUAAUGGCUCACCAAGCCGACGAUCAGUAGCCGACCUGAGAGGGUGACCGGCCACAUUGGGACUGAGACACGGCCCAAACUCCUACGGGAGGCAGCAGUGGGGAAUAUUGGACAAUGGGGGAAACCCUGAUCCAGCGACGCCGCGUGAGUGAAGAAGUGUUUCGGCAUGUAAAGCUCUAUCAGCAGGGAAGAAAAUGACGGUACCUGACUAAGAAGUCCCGGCUAACUACGUGCCAGCAGCCGCAGUAA
This 495-nucleotide ribosomal RNA is filed under the name uncultured bacterium. Its description in RNAcentral is "partial 16S ribosomal RNA". It matches the Rfam family "Bacterial small subunit ribosomal RNA", at positions 28 to 523 of the family's 1533-position model. The record is from RNAcentral.